CCUACGGGUGGCAGCAGUGAGGAAUAUUGGACAAUGGGCGGAAGCCUGAACCAGCCAAGUAGCGUGCAGGAUGACGGCCCUACGGGUUGUAAACUGCUUUUAUACGGGAAUAACGCGCCUUACGUGUAGGGCUUUGCAUGUACCGUAUGAAUAAGGACCGGCUAAUUCCGUGCCAGCAGCCGCGGUAAUGCGGUAGGUCCGGUCGUUAUCCGGAUUUAUUGGGUUAAAAGGGUGCGAAGGCGGCGAGUUCAGUCAGCGGUAAAAUUUCGGGGCUCAACCCCGACGAGCCGUUGAAACUGGCUUGCUAGAGUGGGCGAGAGGUAUGCGGAAUGCGUGGUGUAGCGGUGAAAUGCAUAGAUAUCACGAAGAACUCCGAUUGCGAAGGCAGCAUACCGGCGCUAAACUGACGCUCAUGCACGAAAGUGUGGGUAUCGAACAGGAUUAGAUACCCUGGUAGUC
This 459-nucleotide ribosomal RNA is filed under the name uncultured bacterium. Its description in RNAcentral is "partial 16S ribosomal RNA". It matches the Rfam family "Bacterial small subunit ribosomal RNA", at positions 338 to 795 of the family's 1533-position model. The record is from RNAcentral.